CGGCGAACGGGUGAGUAACACGUGAGCAACCUGCCCCGAAGACUGGGAUAACACCGGGAAACCGGUGCUAAUACCGGAUACCCCCACCAAGCCGCAUGACCAGGUGAGGAAAUGAAUUUCGCUUCGGGAGGGGCUCGCGGGCUAUCAGCUUGUUGGUGGGGUGAUGGCCUACCAAGGCGACGACGGGUAGCCGGCCUGAGAGGGCGACCGGCCACACUGGGACUGAGACACGGCCCAG
RNAcentral lists this ribosomal RNA (238 nucleotides) under uncultured bacterium. Its description in RNAcentral is "partial 16S ribosomal RNA". It matches the Rfam family "Bacterial small subunit ribosomal RNA", at positions 96 to 334 of the family's 1533-position model. The record is from RNAcentral.